This 20-nucleotide small nuclear RNA is filed under the name Arabidopsis thaliana (thale cress). RNAcentral's name for it is "snRNA_02990". Lineage: Eukaryota; Viridiplantae; Streptophyta; Magnoliopsida; Brassicales; Brassicaceae. The record is from RNAcentral.
AGCCUCAACGCACGCCACUU